AGCAGCAGCCACGGUAAUACAGAGGGUGCGAGCGUUAAUCGGAUUUACUGGGCGUAAAGCGUGCGUAGGCGGCUUUUUAAGUCGGAUGUGAAAUCCCUGAGCUUAACUUAGGAAUUGCAUUCGAUACUGGGAAGCUAGAGUAUGGGAGAGGAUGGUAGAAUUCCAGGUGUAGCGGUGAAAUGCGUAGAGAUCUGGAGGAAUACCGAUGGCGAAGGCAGCCAUCUGGCCUAAUACUGACGCUGAGGUACGAAAGCAUGGGGAGCAAACAGGAUUAGAUACCCCUGUAGUCCCUGUCUCUUAUCA
Molecule: ribosomal RNA, 303 nt
Filed under: uncultured bacterium
Lineage: Bacteria
Description: partial 16S ribosomal RNA
Rfam family: Bacterial small subunit ribosomal RNA
Source: RNAcentral